This 982-nucleotide long non-coding RNA is filed under the name Bos indicus x Bos taurus (hybrid cattle). Its description in RNAcentral is "lncRNA (ENSBIXG00005007620.1)". The record is from RNAcentral. Lineage: Eukaryota; Metazoa; Chordata; Mammalia; Artiodactyla; Bovidae.
UCCUAUAACUGGGCUCCCCUGGUGGCUCAUUAGUUUAAAAAUCCACUGAUCAAUGUCAGAGUAAUGAAUUUGAUCCCUAAGUCAGGAAGAUCCCCUGGAGGAGGAAAUGGCAACUCACCCCACUAUUCUUGCCUGGGAAAACCUAUGGACAGAGGAGCAUGGAAGGCUACAAUCCUUGGGGUCACAAAGAGUCAGGCAUGACUUAGUGACUGAACAACAGAAACACCCUGUAACCAGGAAUGAUGGAUAAUGGAUGCUUUGGGAAGAUGAGAGAAGAAGGUGUGAGAAAGCAUGUAGCAGAAACAUAAAGGAUUGGAAAGCUUCAUUCAUAUCAUGGAUGGAUAAUUUCUGCUGUUUAGUAAUAAAAUCUCAGGAAUUUAAAGAUAUUUAACAGGACACUUUAUGAUUUUGUGAAAACAAACACACAAUACACCUACUAAUAUGCCUAGUAACUGUACAAAAGAUAUUUGUUGACUGAGUGAACUAGUAAUAGGUACCUAUUGUAAGUAAUAGAUUUUAUGUAUUUGGUGUUUAUUAGUUGAUAUAUAAUUUAUAUAAAAUUUAUGUUUCUCAUAGAUAUUUAUGAUAAACAGAGCUAGAGGACAUCAGCACUUGAAUUCCUGGCACUGUAGACAAUAUGCCAGGCACAGUGAGGAAACACACCUGAAUAGCUUAUGUAUUCCUGUACAUAAGUACCAGGAGUUACCAGGUAGGGUGUAUUGUCAAGGAUUUAUAUAUUUCCCUUAACUGCCUGCUUAGAAAGUUAUUUAUUGACAAUGUUUUUCUUUCCACAGUUUGAAGUGAGGGUUAAAAUUUAAAUUCUCAUGGAAAAAACAAUAACUCUUACCUGCUUACAGGACCUCUCAGCCUAGAAGGUACAUCUGAUAGUUACAAUUUGUAACCUCACAGACACAGAGGAGGGCUUGGAAACUUGGGACAAUAAGAUAAUAAAAUUAUCUUAUUAUCAUUUGAUAAUAAAAUU